UUGUCGGAAGGCUUUUUGGGGUCAGUUGGCCAUUCUAAGCAGCUGAUUUGUGAGCCACAAGAGGGCAGAGUGCAACUCAAAACAGCUUGGUGUCACAAGGCCUGAUCAAUUCCAGCAGCUUUAGGCCCUGGGCCAGAAAGAUGCAGCUUACGUUACUUCUGGCAUUGUUUUUCAAACUCUCCAGUGUGAAAUGUCACAUAUCAAAUAUACACAAAGCAUUAGGACCACAAGGAAGCGGACUACUUUUCCAGAAAAUAAAAACAACAUGGAAAUGGGUUUAAAUGCACGAAUAAUCCUACUUCGCGCUUUUUCACCUUUCGCGGGGGGUUCUGGUCCCCAUUAACCGAAAAUUGAAAAUGUGCUGUUUUUCCUUAUGAUGAAAGUGCAAUUUUUGUUCUAUCCAUCCUUUGCAAUUUCCUGGCACUUACUGACCUGAAAGUGUGUGUUUUUUUUGUUUGUUUUUUUCAGCGAAUUGAAAACUUUUGGGAAGCACGGAGGCAGAUGUGCAAACCAGUCGCUCACUGUGUCACCUACAUAUAUAUUAUUGCAAUGUACAGCAACAGUACAUUCUAAUGAGGCAGCAGUAUUAUUAUUUUUUUUUUUUUCCACCGACCGCGACAGCCUGCUUUGUUAUCGUGCGACAGCUGUGACGUCAUUAACAGAGUGCAGUGUUGUAUCCGAAAGCUGUUAUGAAGGAGCUCACUAUAUAAUGCAACCCUAAACGGGCAGAACUGAGUAGUGAGUGAGCGAACGAUUUUGGACACAGCCUUCGAAUAAAAAUGUUGUCAUAUCACACGGUGGGGGUUGGUGGCUACGCAUAGCCUAUGUUAAAUCAAAGCGACGGCUCCGUUGUUGUAAUGCAGAAUUCCAGCCGAGGGGGUGAUAGAAGCGAAGCACUGCAGCUUUCAGAAAUUGAACAAUUUUGAGUCUUUGUGCACAUUAUGUAAGAGACCAAAAUGGACCCCUUCUAAAAGUAUUUUAUUUUCUUCAAUUUUUGGGUCAUACCGGGAAUCCUGAUGUGGGUGUGGAAGGUUUCCUGGAGCUCCCUGAGCGAAAAGUCUGUUUUUAACAAUUUGAAAUUUUUUUUAUUUAUGCAUAAGCACACAAGCACGACGCUCUCCGAAAAUAGAAGAAAGAAAUUGCACUGAGAAUCAUGAUGUUUGUGUGGCAGGUUUCCUUGCACUCCCUGAUCUCAAAGUGUUAUUUUUUAACAGCUUGAAAACUUUUCGUUCACCCUACGUAGUAAAAAUUUGACUCCUUCCAAAAGUGUUUUUUCUUUUUCUUCUAUUUUUGGGUCACACCAGAAAUCCUGAUGUGGGUGUGGAAGGUUUCCCGGCACUCCUUGACCUAAAGGGGACAUCCUGAUGCGUGUGUAGAAGGUUUACUGUCGCUCCCUAAACCAGAGGUUUUGUGGUGAUCAGCACUCUGAGCCCCCUCUGCAGAGCAUGGGCGAAACUCUGUUCCUCCCACCGACUCCCUCUCCGUACCUGGUUUCCAUCAGCACUCAUCACAGCCUGCACUUAAGCCUGGCAGUUCCAGUGUUCCAGCACCAGAGUAUUCCCGCACCUCCAUGUUCCUUCCAGUGUCUCCUGCAACGCCACCCGCCUCAACCACGGUGCCAAGCUCAAUUACCUGCUCACUCGUCAGCCUCCUGCACUCUCCUGCUCCCACAGACCACCCUCACGCCUC
This is a long non-coding RNA of Phyllopteryx taeniolatus (common seadragon), 1689 nucleotides long. RefSeq lists it as uncharacterized. The transcript has 3 exons. The record is from RefSeq and is a predicted model, not a curated record. Lineage: Eukaryota; Metazoa; Chordata; Actinopteri; Syngnathiformes; Syngnathidae.